UCAAAGCUGUUAUCCAAUUAACGACCUUACUGAGCGUUUCCACCAAUAGGGUGUCGCGCUGCUAAGCUGUGCGCAGCUGCUCGUUUGCCCGGAAGAAGAGACAGCCGCCAUCAUUUCACCACCACGCAGCUUCUGACCUCAUGCCACCGCCGUUGCGCCGCAAAAAUAUUUUAGUUUUCUGACGUUUUCUUCCCCUGGACUGCCUAAAACAAAUACGUGAGGGUACUGAUCCAAAUGUGUGUGGACCACGGCGUACCAGAGAAAACUACAACUCUGCUGUGAACCAUCUGCUAAUCAACAAUACAACAGAUGUUGAUGGAGUAAAGUUUUGGUGGUGACACAGCUAAGACCUGCAUAUCUUUUCAAGAAAGUUGGUGUUCCUGACAUUUUCAAACCUCCAAGUUUAAACAACGUCAAGAAAUUAAUUCUCAAAGACUUCAGCAUUCUGUGUUGUUGUAAACAUCAUCAGAAUGAAGAGAAUGAGAAGCAAACCAGUGUUAAGAAGAUUACCCACUAAAGACGGAAUCAACCCAUGGCAGGAAACUUUUCGGGCGGAUCCUCUCGGCCCAAGGUGAAAACUCGAUGGACAACAAUUUGACUUCUCCAGCAGAACUUUUCUCUUUUGGUGCCAUGUACAUUUAGAACCUGAUCUGUCUGAGGGCCAUCUUCAACCAAGUCCAGACUCAGUGACUUAUUACUCCUGUUCAGUGAGGGGCAAGUGACUAGUUUUCAAGUUUUUGUUCAACCAUUACCAGUGAUAUGCUACAUUGUCAAGGUUUAUAGUGAUUUUUGAUCCUGCAGACAAUAUGAUCUGUACUGUCUUCUUUCCCAGAUGUUAUUUAUAAUUGUCUCAUUGAUUUUCAGUGAUAAUCAGUACCUUGAUUAAAUUUGUGCAUCUUUAAGUUGCCAAUGUAAAAUUUACACCAAAAUAACGUAUGUUGCACAUGUACUGUAUUUUUAGCGGUAAAAUACCGGCAGCUGUGGUUGCCAGGAAUUUACCGUGAAAUUUAACUGGUCGAAAUAAAAAUGUUUUACAAUUUUACCGUGUUUUUUAUUGACACAGCCUGUAAAAAGGUU
Long non-coding RNA from Fundulus heteroclitus (mummichog), 1077 nucleotides. RefSeq lists it as uncharacterized. The record is from RefSeq and is a predicted model, not a curated record. The transcript has 6 exons. NCBI's taxonomy places the organism in Eukaryota, Metazoa, Chordata, Actinopteri, Cyprinodontiformes, Fundulidae.